UUUUUUUUUUUAGAAGGCCGUAUCAUUAAUUCACAAGAGAAUGAUGGUACCUUAGAGUGGUUAAAAGGAUUCAUGUACCUUUUGAAAGUAGACUUCACAGGAUCUUUUGAGUUUGAGUAUGUGAGAAAGGAUAAAAUUAAAGUUCAAAAGAUAAUCAAAAGUCUCAAAUAAGAAGGAGCAGUCACUAAGAAAGGAAAACAAGUUAUGAAUACACACAGCAAAGAAAAUAUAUUUGUAUCAAGAGUUUAGAGGAGAAUGUAGCAAUAUUGUCUAAAGCAGUACAGUAAAAAAAAAAAAAAAAGGAUAAAAAUAUCUGUUGGAGUUAACAAUUUUGAAGGUGUUAUCUUUUGCCAAAGCAGUUUCAAUGAAGUGGCAAGGAAGAAAUCGGAUUGCAAUGGUUUGGAGAGUGAAUGGGGCCCAAGGAAUGAGAGAUAGCACUAAAUGUUAUCACUUCAAAACUCAGCAGAGUGGAAAGAAGAGGGUUAUAGUUGCUGGAUAUUUAGAGUAAAAAGAAGAUUCAAUCAGUCAUGUGUUGUGACUCAGAACCACGAAAGAUCCAGGGUAAUCUCUUUGAAUCCAGGGUUUCAAGGACAGCCUGAUGGAAUGGGUCUUUUCCACUUUCCAGUCAUCAAGAUUUAAAGGUCAAUUCGCUUUGGAACCUGAGUCAAGGAGAGAACUCCAGAAGUACAGCUCAACCAUUCAGCAACCAUCCAAACAGAAGUAUAAUGGAUCCAAAGAAGUCACCAAAGCAUUAGUAAACUGCAUCUGGGAAAAGGACACAUUCAUUAAGUUUGUGCAGCAUUAUAUUCAGUUCUACCAAUACCUGGUUUAAUCACUUCACCUGAUAACUUCAGGUGAACUUAGCUUCAACUUUUGCUAAGCAGAUAAAAAUGUUAAACACACAUCUUACUUUCACUUAUUUAAAUGAGGUUUAUAUAGAUUAAAAGAUUAUUUAAUUGUUGUGGUCUCAAUAAGACCUUGAAAUUUUUCAACUUUUUUUUAAAGAUUUUAUUUAUUUAUUCAUAAGAGACACAGAGACUGAGAGAGAGGCAGAGACCCAGGCAGAAGGAGAAGCAGGCUCCAUGCAGGGAGCCCGAUGUGGGACUCGAUCCCGGGUCUCCAGGAUCAUGCCCUGCGCUGAAGGUGGCGCUAAACCGCUGGGCCACCCCGGUUGCCCCAUAUUUUUCAACUUUUAAUCAAGUCUAUUCUAUCAUAUACAAAUUAUGCAGUAUCCUAAAGGUUAAUAUAUUAGCUUCUAUUUUUUAAAAUGCCCUUCUAUUGAGAAUAAACACAAUAACAGCCAUAAAACUUUUUAAAUGGAGGGAGUUUUAGAGACAUCAAGUCUGAACACCUCCAUUUGGAAUGAGGAUUUGAGCUUAUGAAAUCUUGGUCAGGCUAACGUUAUAUAAAUACCAAUAGAAACAAGACAAAAAUCUAGACUCUAGGAUUUCAAUAGUUUUUUUUUUCCACUUCUGUAAUCUAUAAUUCUUUUAAGUAGUCUCUAAAAAAAAACAUACUAGGAUAUCAUCACCAAAAUUAAAUAUUUCAAAUAUGUUGACUGCCUUCCUAUAUAUGGCUCUAGGCAUUGUUCUAUGUCUUGACAUAAAUUAUUUUAUUCAAUCUUCACAGCAACUCUAAGAGACAGGUACUAUUAUUGCCCCAUUUUGCAGGUGGAGAAACUAAGCCUUAAAGAGACUGAGUACCUUUUCUAAGGCCACUCAGGUAGCAAGUGGUAAAACUAGAAUGGCAUCUGAGGCACAAGGCAGUCUGCUUAUUUCCAGAUGCAGGCUAAACAGUUCUCAAGAUUUAAUUCAGAAAGCAGUGAUUGAAAGGCUACUAUCAGUAAGACGGUAUCUUGGGAGCUGAAUAAGAUAUAUAAGAUACAGAGCUUAAAAACCUAUCAAAAAAGACCGAUGCAUCCACCACUAACUGACACAGAACAAAAAGUGUUUAGGGAAAAAAGAAAAGCAAAGUGCACAGAAGAGAAAGCUAUUCCUGGGCUAAGGGUAGACAUAAAAAGGGCCAAUACUACCUUAUAACCUGUUGAGAUCUGCUUUGAACCAAUUGGUUACUAACAGAUCCCAAUGGAUAGAGAAGUAUUUCUUUUUAAUAUUCUUAAAUGCUUAUCAUUCAACUCAGCUUUUUUUCCUAUACCAUACUCAACUCAGCCACUUCUAGAUUUAGUUAGCACUCAAGGCAUUUUUUUUUUAAUGCCCGUGGUGUGGAGGGUAAAGAGCAUGCAGUAAAUAAAUCAGCUGUGCAAAAGCUCUCUUAAUAUAUCAAAGAAUCUUUACAGAUAGUUAUUAGAGGCCUCAAAGCCUCCAUAAAAUAAUCCACUUACAUUCACUGUCCACUUAAGUGGCAACCUCUAAAUUUAUGAGUUAGUUUCUUGCUGAAAAGUCAUAUAACUUGUGAGUGUUAAUUUCUUAGAUGACCCUGGUUGGGUAAGAAAAUUGCAAAUGAGAGUCAGAGUUAAGGUAACUAACUCCUGCCAAAUACAUGCCAUUUUAGAUUCCUAGAUACCAGCCCAACCCAUUCAAGAAUCACUGCACCUUCAAUGGAAUAUUUCUUGAGAAAUGUUUAUGUUAUGAUUUACUGAAGAUGAGGGAAUAUACCUGUGAUUUUUGUUUAAGGCCCAAAUUUUGGCUAUAUUUUUCUUCAACUAUUUAUUACCAAAUAAGUUUUAUUUUUAUUUUAUACCUAACCUGUAUAAUAGACUGCAUUUGCUUUUAAAAGUUAAUAGAAGAUCCAAUGUUUACCCUGUUUUCUUACCAAAAACAUUACUGUUGCCAGCCAACUUGUAUAAACAUAAAGUAUGAGUGUCUGGGGCUGAAAACAGUAUUAAAUCACCUUUUUAUUGUAGAGGGGGACCUAUCCAAGCUUCCACUUUAGUAUCUGAUUGCUUCUCCUAGUGUUUUGGUACAAAAAGUUUUUUAUCUCUUCCCCGUAAGUAGCGUUCUGACUACUAAGAAGGUGGAGGUACACAGGAAAGCUUUAGCAUACUACUUGGCCAAAUAUCUUCAGACUCUCUUAUAAAUAAAAGAAGACCAGAACUAUUUUCCUACAUCAAUGUUGGCCAAGCUGUCUUCAUUUGCCUACUGCUGUUAUGGCUAAUGUAUUAUCCUUAUAACACCUAGACUCAUACACUUCAUAUUUUAGUUUAAAUGGAAUCAUUAUUUUUAGUUAAAUAAAUUUACUUUAAAAAACUGUCUACUUCUAUUGUAAAUGAAAAAUCAGCAUGUGUCAUUAAAAAAUACCAUAAACCUCUAGCAAGAUGCAGUGGUUUGCCAAGAUCUGCUUUCCAGUUAUCAAAUAUGGAGAUCAACAAAUGUUAGUGAGCUCUUAAAGACACACUAGUACCACACUGAAGCUUUUUGGUUUUUUCUCCUUAUUCUAAUUAGAAAAAAAAAAUUGCAAAGAAAGUGAAUUUCUAUGUGGCUCAGUGAUUUUUAAUGUUGUGCCCAUGUACCUUCCAAACUCAUCUCAAGUACCUCCAGGCAGCCAAGAGGCAUUCUGAAAAACGCUAUUGUAAAUUAUCCAGAAUUUCAUAAGCCCAAACCUUGCCACUUCUAAUUGAUCCAGAAUCCAGUAUCACUGUUGUCAUCGACAGUCUUAUCUGAGCUUUUCCUCCCCUCUCUCCAACCACACUGAGUCCCCACUGUGUUUUUCUCAGAGCAAGACUGGUCCAGUUGUCUGGAAACUCUGCUUCCCACCUGGCUCCACCACAAGCUAGCAGCUCCCCGUGCCUCACAACCUUCUGGCUCAGUCUCAAUGUCAAAAAGAUAAUGGUGGGUCGCAUAUCUACUUAGUAUACUUCCUCCAGAUUUACUUUUUCACUUCAGCGUUCUACUUUCAAAGGUUUAUUCGUUUCUCAGCCUGUCUUCCUUGAAUUUCUGCUGUCUUGAACCUGAACUAUCAUUCUUCCAUUCUCCAUGUUAGUAAUUCCACAUUCCGCUGGGAAAUAAAGGUUCGCUUCUCAACUCUGGAAUGAAUACAUUAUUCAUCCUUGCUUGCACAAAUUCUAAUUUUGGAUACGAUAUUUUUUCUCAUCCACAAUAUUCUUAAGCUAUAAAUUGACAACAUGGUAUACUUUGUAUUAGAAAACAGUCAAAAACUUAAAGCACAAUACACUCUUUGCGAAAUUACAGGAAGCGCUAUAAAGAAAUGUUAACAGUCAAAUGAAGAUGUUCUGAACUAUACUGUAGUCCCCUUUCCAAUUAUCCUAGUAUUUUAAAAAUCAAAUUUAGCAUUAUUGGAAACUAGAAAUACUCAGCAUUACUGUAAAAUAUUAGUCAGUAGCCAGGGUUAGUUGUAGUAUAUGCACCUGUCAUUUUUCACACAGCACUUCUACCAGGGUAUUUCUUAAACAUUACAUGUGAGCAAAUGGCUUUUUACCCAUUUUAUGCACUUUUAAAGCCUCACCAUGAUUUUACUUACAGCUAUUAUUUCUAAUACAGUUGGGCACUGACCUGAUGACCCAGCAGACCAUCCUGAAUACAAAACAAAGGACACAUACUGGUCAGCUGCUGGCUGGCAAGUCCCUGAGUGACCAGGUCAAAAGCCCUCAGCAAGUAUACAGGAAAAGAUUAAUGGGAAGAGAAAGAAAUCCUUAGCCAAUGCCACAGUAAAACUAGCUGCUCCAUGGAGAUAUUAGACACAAAAUUUGGCCCAUUAGCACAGAACUCUAUACUGGGGUUAACCAUCUUCAGACAACUUAAAUAUUCUUUCUCCAAUUAAGAAGUGGUGCCUGCAUGUGAUGGAGCCAAUGAGUUGAAUUGAAAACAAAAUACGCAUUGUACUGAGAUGACCCAAAUAUCAGUAAUUCAUUAAAACGGUCUCAAACUGAGACCUUUUUCUACAUAGGGUGACAACUAUAAGAGAGAAUCAGAUGAUAGAUAUGGUAUUCCUGUGGUGAACUAGUACAGCAGCUCAUCAUAUUUACCCAUGUAUCUCCUUAAGGUCUUAUUUGUGAAAGGUUGUGAUAAAACCGAGUAGAACUUUAAAUUCAUUUGGCUUUUGAGAUUAUCACUCUAUUUAACCUUGAAAGCUUUUUGCAUUUUCUCAUGCCUUUGUUUGCUUUCAGGAAUUUAUCUUCAUUUUAACUUUAAUCCGUUUUAUAUCUCCUGCCUCAUCUUCGAUCCACAAGUUCAACCUUUUUUUUUUUUUUAAUCUGCAGUGUCUACAGUGUAGGUGGGGGUGGGAAGGCUUCUGUCUCCUUUUUAUAAAGACAUACAAUAAAGUCAUCUUAAAAGUUACAAACACAUAUGUAUGUGUAUAUAUGUGUGAUUAAUCAAUAAUCAUUUUAUCUGUUAGACUGAAAAACUGGUAUCCAAGUAAUACUUAUUCUAUAUUAAGUAGCAGUUUCACCUCAGAUUUACUGAUUCUGACAGUUACACUAUCCUUAAAAAGACAGACAGUAUUUUGUCUCAAGAAACUGAAGCAUUUUGGGAUCCCUGGGUGGCGCAGCAGUUUGGUGCCUGCCUUUGGCCCGGGGCGCGAUCCUGGAGACCCGGGAUCAAAUCCCACGUCGGGCUCCCCGUGCAUGGAGCCUGCUUCUCCCUCUGCCUGUGUCUCUGCCUCCCUCUCUCUCUCUCUGUGACUAUCAUAAAUAAAUAAAAAGUAAAAAUUAAAAAAAAAGAAACUGAAGCAUUUUACCAUUACUCCUUACAAAAGUGGAACCAAAUACUUACCAACUUUGCCAUAAGAACCAUAAAAUUAGCUAUGUAGUGAGUGUCUUAGAUUUCUGUAGAGAAUUGUAGUAGUUUGGACCAGCUUUGCACAGCCAGGAGCAUUUCUUGCAUUAGGUAUUGCAAACACAAAACCUAGGAUCUAUGAGCUUUCCAAGGGUCCCACUCCAAAUUUAUCAUUAGCUCCAAAAAUAAGAAUAAAUGUUCAUAUAAUGUCCACAGAAAUGCAUGCCAAUUGCUACUCAGCUCAUACGCAAAUACAAAAAAUUAAAUCUCAAGAGCAAAAGAAAUAAUUUAUUCUUUUAAAAUAAAAUUAUCUAAAAUUUUAUAUCAAAGAAAAAUCCAAUGUGACAUAUGAAAAUAGGUGUAUAAGAAUUAGAAUGUGAUACAGUAAGGACUGGGGUCUGCCAAAGUAGGCCUGCCUAGGCUAUAUGCUGUGAUCUGAUCAUUAUAGAUUUUCAUUCACACGUCAGCAAGGCAGUAAUUAAAGAUGGUGAAACACAGGAUUUUGUAAAGCAAUGAAAAAUCUGUAUUAGAACUAUUUGUAUUCUGGGAAUUACUUUCUCACAGACAUUAAAUCAGAUAAAUUGGGAUUUCCCUGAAAUGUUACCCACUGAAGAAAAAUUCCCAGGAGACUUGGGUCUUCUUAUUAUAAUUGGUCUUAUUUUUAUCUCUUUUCUGAAAACAAUAUGAGUAGAACAACUCUACUCCAAGAUAAUUAAGUAUGGCCUAUACUGUCCCAAAGUUAUUGUGGGCAUCAAUAUAUCUAUGAUAGUUUUUUUUUUCUUUUGCCAAUAAUUCAAACAUGCCAGAGAUAUACCACAGCACAAUCGGGAAAUGUUUCCAUACAGUAGUAAUUAUUUCAUAUAUAUUUCCUAUAACCCACUCAGAAUGUCUAACAAUGACCCCCAUACAUUUCUUACUUGAGAAAAAUCAGAACAGAGAAUUCUCAGUAGAAUGUCAUGGGCUUUUAAGGAUCAGACUUAUAAACUACCUUAUAUCAAACCACCACAUCCUAUUACAGUUCCACACCUUGUUGAAGGGCUGAUAUAAACUUGGACUUGAAAUCAAGCACCACAGUGUUAUAAGCUAGCCUAUUUUUUCACAAUAACAAUUCCAUGGAGAGAAACUGCUCUUACUUUCUAACAGGUUUGAGACUCUGAAAUGUGACUGCUUCUCUUCAGUAAUUUUCCAUCAAAUGUGCAAGAUACAUCUUGACAGUGAAACACCGUUUCUCAUUUACCUCUUCAACGAGACUGAAAAUAUAUAAGGGGACAUUCUUCUAUAUGAGAGGACAUUCAUUUUACUUAAAUAACACCAGGGUGGAUCUCUGUGGCUUCAUUUCUUUUUCCAAAUAUUUCUUCAUAAGAAAGCAUUGAUUUCUUAGCUUCUAUGACUUGAUGGGAAAAUUUCUUUUCAACAUGCUAUCUGUAUCUCAAAAUGAUAUGCUGACUUACUGUCAUUAUGACAUGCUAUUUGAGUUAUACUAAACCAAUCACAUUUAGUAGCUAGUUUUCUUGGUGACCACUAAUCUAGUCAUGGAGAAUACAAGUCGUAACUCAAAGCCAUUAAUAACUAACUAAUACAAGUUAGUAACUCAAAGAACUAAGUAUAUGGAUUAGCAAGUCUAUAUAUAUGAGCCCUGCAGGGGACUGAACAUUUUGAAUUAAAGUAAAACAUUUCCAGUAGUAGAAAUAGAAAUGAAUAAUUUUGAAAAUUUAAAUCACAUGGAUGAAUUGUGCCACAAAGUUUCAAAACUGCAGCUACCCCCACCCCCACCAGAGGAGUUAUUCUGCUGGGUUGUGAAUGGGAAGCCCAACCAACCUAUAAAUAAUCAAAAGCAGUUAUUAGAAAUGAAAUUCAUUCUGAACUACAAGCCCUUGUACAGGAAAUGUGUCAAAAAGCCAGUGGUUCCAUUUUCCCCAAAUGCUACUAUCUUGUUCCACUACAAUAGUAGGUUGGAUGACAAAUAAUAACAAAGCCAUCUAAUCUUUAAUGCUUCCAUAUAACAACCGUUAGUUAACUUUAAGUGAUACUAGUGGCCUAAAAUCUUCUAAAACUUGCUGAAAAGCGGUAAAAAAAAAAAAAAAAAAAAAAAG
Molecule: long non-coding RNA, 7786 nt
Filed under: Canis lupus familiaris (dog)
Lineage: Eukaryota; Metazoa; Chordata; Mammalia; Carnivora; Canidae
Description: lncRNA (ENSCAFG00000051815.1)
Source: RNAcentral